RNAcentral lists this ribosomal RNA (253 nucleotides) under uncultured bacterium. Its description in RNAcentral is "partial 16S ribosomal RNA". It matches the Rfam family "Bacterial small subunit ribosomal RNA", at positions 524 to 776 of the family's 1533-position model. The record is from RNAcentral.
UACGUAGGGUGCGAGCGUUGUCCGGAAUUAUUGGGCGUAAAGGGCUCGUAGGCGGUCUGUCACGUCGGGAGUGAAAACACGGGGCUUAACCCCGUGCCUGCUUCCGAUACGGGCAGACUAGAGUGCGGUAGGGGAGAUUGGAACUCCUGGUGUAGCGGUGGAAUACGCAGAUAUCAGGAAGAACACCGAUGGCGAAGGCAGAUCUCUGGGCCGUAACUGACGCUGAGGAGCGAAAGCAUGGGGAGCGAACAGG